Molecule: long non-coding RNA, 443 nt
Filed under: Homo sapiens (human)
Lineage: Eukaryota; Metazoa; Chordata; Mammalia; Primates; Hominidae
Description: non-protein coding lnc-CA5B-1:2
Source: RNAcentral
GAAAAGUGACGCGGACCAGAGGGGUCUUGCCUGUUCCGAGAGAAUGGAAGGGGGACGUGGCUAAACGUGAGGGGGCGUGGCCAAGAUGGCCGCGUGCGGGAUCCUCGGGUACCGGGAGCGAACGAGGAGGUUCUGGCUCAGUGCAUCCACUCUGGGAGAGCGUGGACCUGGUUCCUGGGGGCGAUCGCCAGUCACCCAUCAACAUUCGGUGGAGGGACAGUGUUUAUGAUCCCGGCUUAAAACCACUGACCAUCUCUUAUGACCCAGCCACCUGCCUCCACGUCUGGAAUAAUGGGUACUCUUUCCUCGUGGAAUUUGAAGAUUCUACAGAUAAAUCAGGCUGUACAAGAAACAUGGUGCUCACAUCUGCAUCUGGUGAGGGCCUCAAACUGUUUCCCCUCAUGUUGGAAGGCCAAGGGGAGCCAACGUGCAGAGAUCACAUG